This 252-nucleotide ribosomal RNA is filed under the name uncultured bacterium. Its description in RNAcentral is "partial 16S ribosomal RNA". It matches the Rfam family "Bacterial small subunit ribosomal RNA", at positions 526 to 779 of the family's 1533-position model. The record is from RNAcentral.
CGUAGGGUGCGAGCGUUGUCCGGAAUUAUUGGGCGUAAAGAGCUUGUAGGCGGCUUGUCGCGUCUGCUGUGAAAUCCCGGGCUCAACCUCGGGCUUGCAGUGGGUACGGGCAGGCUAGAGUAUGGUAGGGGAGACUGGAAUUCCUGGUGUAGCGGUGGAAUGCGCAGAUAUCAGGAGGAACACCGAUGGCGAAGGCAGGUCUCUGGGCCAUCACUGACGCUGAGAAGCGAAAGCGUGGGAGCGAACAGGAUU